UAUCACUAAGCGGAGGAAAAGAAACUAACAAGGAUUCCCUCAGUAACGGCGAGUGAAGCGGGAUGAGCCCAGCACCGAAUCCCCCAGCAUGUCGCUGGCGGGAACUGUGGUGUAUGGGACGCCACCUGUCGAAUGCACCGGUGUCCGAAGUCCUCCUGAUCGGGGCCUCUCCCAGAGUGGGUGUCAGGCCUUUACAGGCCGCUGGUGCGUCGGCUGCGAGCGUCUCCGGAGUCGGGUUGUUUGGGAAUGCAGCCCUAAGCGGGUGGUAAACUCC
Molecule: ribosomal RNA, 274 nt
Filed under: Buccinum sp.
Lineage: Eukaryota; Metazoa; Mollusca; Gastropoda; Neogastropoda; Buccinidae
Description: partial 28S ribosomal RNA gene
Rfam family: Eukaryotic large subunit ribosomal RNA
Source: RNAcentral